AAGUCGUAACAAGGUUUCCGUAGGUGAACCUGCGGAAGGAUCAUUAUCGAAUAAACUUGAACAGGCUGUUGCUGUCCCUUCAUCGGGUAUGUGCACGCUUGUCAUCUUUAUUUUCUCCAACUGUGCACCCUUUGUAGACCUGAGUGAUGAAAAUCGAGUUGGGGACUGCUGUGCUAACCACCGGCUUUCCCUUGUAUUUUUCAAGUCUAUGUCAUUUAUUUCACAAACCUAUGGAUUUGUUUAGAAUGUUGAAUUGGGUGCUUUAUGUACCUUUGAAAAUAAAUAUACAACUUUCAGCAACGGAUCUCUUGGCUCUCGCAUCGAUGAAGAACGCAGCGAAAUGCGAUAAGUAAUGUGAAUUGCAGAAUUCAGUGAAUCAUCGAAUCUUUGAACGCAUCUUGCGCUCCUUGGUAUUCCGAGGAGCAUGCCUGUUUGAGUGUCAUUUAAAUUCCUCAACCACAUGUGAUGUGGCUUGGAUAUUGGGGGGUUAUCAUUUGCAGGCCUUGAAAAGAGGUCUGCUCCCCUGAAAUGUAUUAGCGGUAUCUGCUACUACAGGUGUGAUAAUUUAUCUGUACCUUUAGUAUUCUGCAAAUGAUUAUGCUGCUUCUAAACAACCCAUUUGAUAAAUUUGACCUCAAAUCAGGUAGGACUACCCGCUGAACUUAAGCAUAUCAAUAAGCGGAGGAAAAGAAACUAACAAGGAUUCCCCUAGUAACUGCGAGUGAAGCGGGAAAAGCUCAAAUUUGAAAUCUGGCAGCUUUCCACUGUCCGAGUUGUAAUCUAGAGAAGUGUUACCAGUGCAGGACCGUGUACAAGUCUCCUGGAAUGGAGCGUCACAGAGGGUGAGAAUCCCGUCUUUGACACGGACUACCUGUGCGCUCAUGGUGUGCUCUCGAAGAGUCGAGUUGUUUGGGAAUGCAGCUCAAAAUGGGUGGUAAAUGCCAUCUAAAGCUAAAUAUUGGCGAGAGACCGAUAGCGAACAAGUACCGUGAGGGAAAGAUGAAAAGUACUUUGGAAAGAGAGUUAAACAGUACGUGAAAUUGCUGAAAGGGAAACGCUUGAAGUCAGUCGCGUUGGCUAGGAAUCAACCCAGCUCCUGCUUGGUGUACUUUCUGGUCGACGGGUCAGCAUCAAUUUUGACCAUUGGAUAAAGUCUUUGGGAAUGUGGCAUCCUUGGAUGUGUUAUAGCCCAUAGUCGCAUACGGUGGUUGGGAUUGAGGAGCUCAGCACGCCGCAAAGGCCGGGUUUCGACCACGAUCGUGCUUAGGAUGCUGGCAUAAUGGCUUUAAUCGACC
Molecule: ribosomal RNA, 1295 nt
Filed under: uncultured fungus
Lineage: Eukaryota; Fungi
Description: eukaryotic LSU rRNA
Rfam family: Eukaryotic large subunit ribosomal RNA (bases 630-1295)
Source: RNAcentral